Molecule: long non-coding RNA, 1487 nt
Organism: Xiphophorus maculatus (southern platyfish)
Lineage: Eukaryota; Metazoa; Chordata; Actinopteri; Cyprinodontiformes; Poeciliidae
Exons: 4
Source: RefSeq, a predicted model, not a curated record
UAAAGCAAAGAUUGGUAUUUUUGUAACAUCAAAAGUUCAUUUUAUGGUAAACAGAAAAUCCAGCUUUUUGUAGUUUACUGGGACUAACAACCCCCGGACAAAUUUGGAAAAAAAUUCAGCUAAAGUGGGUGGUGCUUUAAGGCAUAAACAGACACAGCCUAGUGUGGGGCCAUAUGUAGAGGGGAUAAGCAAGGCUGUAGUAAGCGCCGUUACCGACUUGGUACUUUGUGGUUAUAGUUUUCUCCAAAUUGCGCUUGAAGAAAGUAUGAACAUGGGCAAAACUGAGGAACUCUAUCAAUCAACCAACUGGAUAUUAAAGUAUGUCACCGGAGAUUUGUUCUCCUGUCCACGCGAUGAAUCCUUGGCCCACUGCAUCAGUGAAGACUGUCGCAUGGGAGCAGGCAUAGCGGUGAUGUUCAAGAAGAAGUUUGGUCGAGUCUCAGAGUUAAAGAAGCAGAAGAAGCUGCCGGGGCAGUGUGCUGUCCUGACACAUGAUCAACGUUUCAUCUACUAGCUGAUCACAAAGAAAAAAACCCAGCCAGAAACCCACGUAUGUCAGCCUAAGACAGAGUCUGGAAGACAUGAAAUCUCACUGCUUAGAAAAUGGUGUCAAUAGAAUAUCAAUACCUCGAAUUGGCUGUGGCCUGGACCAGCUGCUGUGGUCAAAGGUGUCAAAGAUCCUGGAACAGAUCUUUAAAGAGACAAAUAUCUCCAUCGCAGUAUACAGCCUGCCCUGUGUUGGGUCAAAGCUUCAAAUGCAUGCCGUGUAGCACAUUUUCAUUGUGGGUUUUUUAGCUUUAAAUCCUUUAUAAUCUCUUAAAAUUUUGGAUGAAAUCAACACUCCUUAAACAGUUUUAAGGAAACAAUAAAUAAGGAAACAAUAAAAACCAACCCAUAAGAUGUUUAGAUACAAGACUUUUAACAUCCCACUGAUGUAAAAAAUGAUGUUUCCUGCCAUUAAAGAUACGAAACUUAUUCCAAACACUGAUGUUGCACUCUGUGAAUAUCAUAUUACAUGAUGCUACUACUAAAUCAUGCUACAUAAAGUGAUCCAACAAAGCCCCUGAGGCAGGUAAAAUACAAUAGUUAUGCCUAAAAUUUGUUUUUUUGUUUUUCUAAAUCUAUAUAGUUGUUGAAAACGUAGCUUUUCCUGUGAAUCUGUAAAUCUAAAUUGUGAAAGAGUUUGCUUCUCUAGCUUUAUUUUUCUGACCCAAAUUCAGGAGCAAGAUUGUUGUCACAAGUUUUUUUUGUCAUGAGUUUUUAGUGAUUCUGAUGCUUGACUUUUUUAGUAUUUGUAACCUGUGAAUGAUGUUGUACAGAAUAUUAAGACUUAUAUCUUUGAAAAUUGCUUUGUAAAUAAAAUUUAAGAUCAUAGUUUUUGACAACCUUUACCUGUUAAAACACCAGGCAACGGUAUGUAGGAAAAUGCCAUUUGAAAUUUUUAUAAAUUUCUUAGUUUUGCCUCAAAAUGAACUUUUGAUGUUACA